RNAcentral lists this ribosomal RNA (394 nucleotides) under uncultured Coxiella sp. RNAcentral's name for it is "bacterial SSU rRNA". It matches the Rfam family "Bacterial small subunit ribosomal RNA", at positions 969 to 1362 of the family's 1533-position model. Lineage: Bacteria; Pseudomonadati; Pseudomonadota; Gammaproteobacteria; Legionellales; Coxiellaceae. The record is from RNAcentral.
CCUUACCUACCCUUGACAUCCUCGGAACUUGUCAGAGAUGAUUUGGUGCCUUCGGGAACCGAGUGACAGGUGCUGCAUGGCUGUCGUCAGCUCGUGUCGUGAGAUGUUGGGUUAAGUCCCGUAACGAGCGCAACCCUCGUCCUUAGUUGCCAGCGAGUCAAGUCGGGAACUCUAAGGAGACUGCCGGUGAUAAACCGGAGGAAGGUGGGGAUGAUGUCAAGUCAUCAUGGCCCUUACGGGUAGGGCUACACACGUGCUACAAUGGGCAGUACAAAGGGUUGCCAAGCCGCGAGGUGGAGCUAAUCCCAGAAAACUGCUCGUAGUCCGGAUUGGAGUCUGCAACUCGACUCCAUGAAGUUGGAAUCGCUAGUAAUCGCGAAUCAGCAUGUCGCGG